AUUGAACGCUGGCGGCAGGCUUAACACAUGCAAGUCGAGCGGGGUGAUGGUGCUUGCACUAUCACUUAGCGGCGGACGGGUGAGUAAUGCUUAGGAAUCUGCCUAUUAGUGGGGGACAACAUCUCGAAAGGGAUGCUAAUACCGCAUACGUCCUACGGGAGAAAGCAGGGGAUCACUUGUGACCUUGCGCUAAUAGAUGAGCCUAAGUCGGAUUAGCUAGUUGGUGGGGUAAAGGCCUACCAAGGCGACGAUCUGUAGCGGGUCUGAGAGGAUGAUCCGCCAACCUGGAACUGAGGCACGGCCCAGACUCCUACGGGAGGCAGCAGUGGGGAAUAUUGGACAAUGGGGGGAACCCUGAUCCAGCCAUGCCGCGUGUGUGAAGAAGGCCUUAUGGUUGUAAAGCACUUUAAGCGAGGAGGAGGCUCUUUUGGUUAAUACCCAAGAUGAGUGGACGUUACUCGCAGAAUAAGCACCGGCUAACUCUGUGCCAGCCGCCGCGGUAA
Molecule: ribosomal RNA, 503 nt
Filed under: uncultured bacterium
Lineage: Bacteria
Description: partial 16S ribosomal RNA
Rfam family: Bacterial small subunit ribosomal RNA
Source: RNAcentral